AACGAACGCUGGCGGGUGCUUACACAUGCAAGUCGGAUGCGAACGGGCUUCGGGCGUGAGUAGCAUGGCAGACGGGUGAGGAGCGCGUAUCUGACUGGACUCAGGCUGGGGGAUAGUCCCUCGAAAGGGGGUUGAAUACCGCAUGUGCUCGGUGCUGUGAGGGCAUCGAGGAAAGUUGGCCUCUGCGGGCACGCUGAUGGCCUGAGACAGGGAUGCGUCCUAUUAGCUAGCUGGUGGGGUAAGGGCCUACCAGGGCGACGAUGGGUAGCUGGUCUGAGAGGAUGAUCAGCCACACUGGGACUGCGACACGGCCCAGACUCCUACGGGAGGCAGCAGUGGGGAAUUUUGCGCAAUGGGCGCAAGCCUGACGCAGCAACGCCGCGUGCAUGACGACGCCUUUCGAGGUGUAAAGUGCUGUCGACCGGGACGAAGGGGCGAGGGUGAACAGCUUUCGCGCAUGACGGUACCGGUGGAGGAAGCCCCGGCUAACUCCGUGCCAGCAGCCGCGGUAAGACGGAGGGGGCGAGCGUUGUUCGGAAUUACUGGGCGUAAAGCGCGCGUAGGCGGUGCAGCAAGUGGUGCGUGAAAGCCCUCGGCUUAACCGGGGACGGGCGUGCCAAACUGUUGGACUGGAGUGCCGGAGGGGGAGGCGGAAUUCCUGGUGGAGCGGUGAAAUGCGUAGAGAUCAGGAAGAACGUCGGUGGCGAAGGCGGCCUCCUGGACGGACACUGACGCUGAGGUGCGACAGCGUGGGGAGCGAACGGGAUUAGAUACCCCGGUAGUCCACGCCGUAAACGAUGGGUACUACGUGUGGGGCUUGU
RNAcentral lists this ribosomal RNA (821 nucleotides) under uncultured organism. RNAcentral's name for it is "bacterial SSU rRNA". It matches the Rfam family "Bacterial small subunit ribosomal RNA", at positions 28 to 832 of the family's 1533-position model. The record is from RNAcentral.